CAGCUGGUUUUGAGGAAGUGAGCUGCCAUGUACUAGGCCACGUGGCAAGGGCCUGGUUGGGGACCUCCAGGGGUUGAGAGCAUCCUCUGGACAACAUGGAAAAAGAAAAUGAAAAUGGUGACCUCAGCCCUAUAGCUAGAAGGAAUUGAAUCCUGUCAACAACGAUUGGGUUCUCGGUCUCGCUGACUUCAAGAAUGAAGCCGCAGACCCUCACGACUCAUCACUCACUGCAGAUGUUACUUUAAGACAUUCUGGAGCAGCGUCAUGUGCAGUCAUGUGAAAGUAUAUUCCAAACCCAGAACCUGAGCACAGAUUGGGACUGAGAAACACUUGUCUAGAUUGUCAGGCAAUCUGUAACAUCAGCAGUGGAUGGAAAGAAGGAGAAAGAUGAGUUUUAUGGACGCUAACCCAUCUAUAUGGCUUUGGAAAAUAAAGUACUGCUGUUUUUUUUUGUAAAGGA
Molecule: long non-coding RNA, 460 nt
Filed under: Homo sapiens (human)
Lineage: Eukaryota; Metazoa; Chordata; Mammalia; Primates; Hominidae
Description: HSALNT0325496
Source: RNAcentral